ACGCGGGCGGCGUGCUUAACCAUGCAAGUCGACCGAUGAAGCGCUGUCUUUUGGGCGGUGUGGAUUAGUGCGAACGGGUGAGUAAUACGCGGCCAACCUGCCCCUCUGCUUCGGGAUAAGCUUGGAAACGGGGUCUAAUACCGGAUGUGCCUGUCUGGUCGCAUGGCUGGGCGGGGAAAGAUGUUUUUCGGCGGGGGAUGGGCUCGCGGCCUAUCAGCUUGCUGGUGGGGUGACGGCCUACCAAGGCGUCGACGGGUAGCCGGCCUGAGAGGGUGGUCGGCCACACUGGGACUGAGAUACGGCCCAGACUCCUACGGGAGGCAGCAGUGGGGGAUAUUGCACAAUGGGCGCAAGCCUGAUGCAGCGACGCCGCGUGGGGGAUGGAGGCUUUCGGGUUGUAAACCCCUUUCGGCGCGGGACAAGGCUCCGUUUGGCGGGGUUGAGG
This 445-nucleotide ribosomal RNA is filed under the name Actinomyces sp. oral taxon 446. RNAcentral describes it as "bacterial SSU rRNA". It matches the Rfam family "Bacterial small subunit ribosomal RNA", at positions 33 to 474 of the family's 1533-position model. Lineage: Bacteria; Bacillati; Actinomycetota; Actinomycetes; Actinomycetales; Actinomycetaceae. The record is from RNAcentral.